UACGAACCGUCCAACCGUUAUUCGGAAUUACUGGGCUUAAAGGGUGCGUAGGCGGCCAUGUAAGUGAGGUGUGAAAUCCCUCGGCUCAACCGAGGAACUGCGCUUCAUACUGCAUGGCUUGAGGGAGACAGGGGUAAGCGGAACUGAUGGUGGAGCGGUGAAAUGCGUUGAUAUCAUCAGGAACACCGGUGGCGAAAGCGGCUUACUGGGUCUCUUCUGACGCUGAGGUACGAAAGCUAGGGUAGCGAACGGG
This 253-nucleotide ribosomal RNA is filed under the name uncultured bacterium. RNAcentral's name for it is "partial 16S ribosomal RNA". It matches the Rfam family "Bacterial small subunit ribosomal RNA", at positions 524 to 776 of the family's 1533-position model. The record is from RNAcentral.